RNAcentral lists this small RNA (340 nucleotides) under Histoplasma ohiense. RNAcentral describes it as "hypothetical lncRNA". Lineage: Eukaryota; Fungi; Ascomycota; Eurotiomycetes; Onygenales; Ajellomycetaceae. The record is from RNAcentral.
CAGAGUAGUGUCUCUGAGGAAGCCGGGAUUCAGGAACUGCCAAAUGCAUCGUACAUGGUAGUCUGCACUUGGAACUGAUAAGGAAGGGCACCCGGAGCGACCAGCACAAAGCAUGUCGAUCUAUCUUCGCUCCUCAGCUAUGUAGUUGACUCGCAACGAAAAUCGAUCCGCUGGCGACAGGGAGGAGCUUCGCCUGUUUGCUCGGCUGACGUUCUGCACACAAAAGCGCAUGGGAUUUCCUGAAGGGUGUUUACUAUAUCUCCCCAGCAUACAGUUCAUACACAUGUUAUCCCAUACAGGCGUAGGCGCUUUCCACGAGUGAUGAACAAAGAUAGGAUGC